This 937-nucleotide ribosomal RNA is filed under the name uncultured bacterium. RNAcentral describes it as "bacterial SSU rRNA". It matches the Rfam family "Bacterial small subunit ribosomal RNA", at positions 8 to 916 of the family's 1533-position model. The record is from RNAcentral.
AGAGUUUGAUCCUGGCUCAGAACCGAACGCUGGCGGCGUGGAUAAGACAUGCAAGUCGAGCGGGAUACACAAGGUAGCAAUAUUUUGUGUGUUCAGCGGCGCAAGGGUGCGUAACACGUGGGCAAUUUGCCAUGAAGUUUGGGAUAAUCCCGCGAAAGCGGGACUAAUACCGGAUGUGGAAAUCGGGUGGCAUCAUCUGAUAUCCAAAGUUGGGGACCGUAAGGCCUGACGCUUCAUGAUAAGCCCGCGGCCUAUCAGCUAGUUGGUGAGGUAACGGCUCACCAAGGCUAAGACGGGUAGCUGGUCUGAGAGGACGACCAGCCACACUGGAACUGAGACACGGUCCAGACACCUACGGGUGGCAGCAGUCGAGAAUUUUUCACAAUGGGCGAAAGCCUGAUGGAGCGACGCCGCGUGGGGGAUGAAUGGCUUCGGCCCGUAAACCCCUGUCAUUUGCGAACAAACCUUAUCAUUUAACAGAUGAUGAGCUGAUUGUAGCGGAAGAGGAAGGGACGGCUAACUCUGUGCCAGCAGCCGCGGUAAUACAGAGGUCCCGAGCGUUGUUCGGAUUCACUGGGCGUAAAGGGUGCGUAGGUGGUGAGGUAAGUCGGAUGUGAAAUCUCCAGGCUCAGCCUGGAAACUGCAUUGGAAACUACCUUGCUUGAGGGUUUGAGGGGGGACUGGAAUUCUCGGUGUAGCAGUGAAAUGCGUAGAUAUCGAGAGGAACACCAGUGGCGAAGGCGAGUCCCUGGAAAACACCUGACACUGAGGCACGAAAGCUAGGGGAGCAAACAGGAUUAGAUACCCUGGUAGUCCUAGCCCUAAACGGUGCUUGCUUGCUGUAAGAGGAAUCGACCCCUCUUGUGGCGGAGCUAACGCGUUAAGCAAGCCGCCUGGGAAGUACGGUCGCAAGAUUAAAACUCAAAUGAAUUGACGG